UGAACGGGUGGGUAGCCGUCAUGGUCCC
This 28-nucleotide non-coding RNA is filed under the name Mus musculus (house mouse). The record is from RNAcentral. Lineage: Eukaryota; Metazoa; Chordata; Mammalia; Rodentia; Muridae.